CUGGAGCCAGCGGCUUGGCUUUUAAACUGGAAAUUAACCAGAGCCACACAAACAAUUGUACUCACAUUGGCUCAGAGGUGGCCAACCCUCAAAGCUGGCCUCAAGAGGCUGGGGAACGGAAGUUCUAGCUGAGAAUCUGCUAACUCUGAAGGGAGACAGGUUUAGUGGGUGAGUACAGCUAUGAAAUCACCACUCUGGACACUGCUGACACCUGUAUGUGGAAAGAUCCGAUCGGUCCUGUGUCUCAGAAACUCAACAAGACAAUACCUUAGCGCUUGACACACAGUCGUUGCUCAGAUUCCAUGAGUUGGGCUCAGUGCUUAGCUGUGAAUCUCUGCUUCUGCUUCUGUCAGCUACUGGACUGGAACUGAAAGUUCACUCACUGCUCCCUACACUCUUGAAACCCAGCCUCUCUGGUUCCUGGAGCAGUUUCUCAAGUCUUUCUAGUUUCAUCGCCCUGCAGCAGCAGCCUAUCCACAGGAUGAACAGCACACACAUGGUCUGGGAUCACCUAGGAGACACACCUGUGGGCAUGUCUAAGCAAGAGAGAUUUGCUUAACUGAGAUGGGAGGAUCCCUCCUGGAGGUGGGCACUGGGGCCCCGGACCAGACAAAAAGAGAAAGCGAGCCCAGCACCAGCAUCCACCUCUCAGCUUCCUGUCUGUGAAUGCCACGUGACCUGCCCCCUCAGGCUUCCUGCAGUCAUGCCCUCUGUGACACAAGGGACCUUAUGCCCG
This 736-nucleotide long non-coding RNA is filed under the name Cricetulus griseus (Chinese hamster). RNAcentral's name for it is "lncRNA (ENSCGRG00015031918.1)". The record is from RNAcentral. Lineage: Eukaryota; Metazoa; Chordata; Mammalia; Rodentia; Cricetidae.